CGGAUUUUCAAGAUUUUCCCUCGAUUUCUCUGGGAUCCCAUCAUCAGAUCCUGGUUUUCUUAUCAUGGUACUAAACUAGGGAUAUCUUCUUUCUAACAAAAAAAGAAUUAUCAAAAUCGGUAUAUCCAGUAGAAAGUUAUGCGGUAUAAUAUAACGUAGGUCGACGAAAAAAGCGUCAAGUAAAAACGCAUUAUUAGAUAUAACUCGAAAAGUAGUUGUUAGAUCUCAAAUAAAUUUAAAUGGGACCAAUUGGCACACACCACCUUUCGAUUAAAAGAAAAUUUGUCGAAAUCGGUCCACACGGGCAAAAGUUCUGAUGUAACAUACAUAAAA
RNAcentral lists this unclassified non-coding RNA (333 nucleotides) under Melitaea cinxia (Glanville fritillary). RNAcentral describes it as "misc RNA ENSMCXG00005017637.1". The record is from RNAcentral. Lineage: Eukaryota; Metazoa; Arthropoda; Insecta; Lepidoptera; Nymphalidae.